Molecule: long non-coding RNA, 199 nt
Filed under: Carica papaya (papaya)
Lineage: Eukaryota; Viridiplantae; Streptophyta; Magnoliopsida; Brassicales; Caricaceae
Description: long non-coding RNA (CPAP_LNC014297)
Source: RNAcentral
GAGGCAGUGCAAGUCUGUAGGCAGUGGUACCAAUCUUGUCUAAGAUUUCAAAGGGUCCAAUAUAUCUGGGGUUUAAUUUUCUCCUCCUGCCGAACCUACUAAUUCCCUUGAAGGGGGUGACUUUAAGAAACACCCGGUCGCCUUUCUCAAAGGCCAGGUCUCUUCUCCGAGUAUCGGCAUAACUCUUCUGCCUACUCUG